GUACACGCUGUGACUAGCAUAUCAAUAAGCGGAGGAAAAGUACCUACGCUUAGGAUGUUGACGGGACUGUCGAUCUCAUCUAUACAUGACUCUGCGCAUAUCAAUAAGCGGAGGAAAAGAAACUAACAAGGAUUCCCUUAGUAACGGCGAGUGAAGCGGGAAGAGCUCAAAUUUGAAAUCUUCAAGGUUUUACCUCGACGAAUUGUAGUUUAAAGAAGUGUUUUCUGCUGAAGUUUUGGUAAAAGUUCUUUGGUAUAGGACAUCAUAGAGGGUGAGAAUCCCGUAUUUGACCAUUAUUUUCAGCUUUGUGAUACACUUUCAAAGAGUCGGAUUGUUUGGGAAUGCAGUCCAAAAUGGGUGGUAAAUUUCAUCUAAGGCUAAAUAUUGGCGAGAGACCGAUAGCGAACAAGUACCGUGAGGGAAAGAUGAAAAGAACUUUGAAAAGAGAGUUAAACAGUACGUGAAAUUGUCAAAAGGGAAGCGUUUGACACCAGUGUUGUUUUCUCGAAAAUCAAUUAAAAAUGGCUCGAUUUUGUAUUGUUGAGACCUUAAAAGCUCACUGUACAUUUUUCGUGUCUUUUUUAAUGCACUUUUCGUUUAACAAGUCAACAUCAGUUUCUUUUGUUGUAAAAGGGUCAUUGGAAGGUGGCUUUCUUUUCGGAGAAAGUGUUUAUAGCCUUUGGCCUCUGCAAUCGGAAGAGACUGAGGUCUGCAGCGUAGACUCUUCGGGGUUAGAUACAUUUGUGCUAAGUUAUAGCUUUUUAUAGACAACUUGUUGACUAUAAUUAGUCUUGUAGCUUACUCGCUUAUGCUAUUUUACCUACGCUUAGGAUGUUGAUCUACAGAGCGAGAGU
This 854-nucleotide ribosomal RNA is filed under the name uncultured Neocallimastigales. Its description in RNAcentral is "partial large subunit ribosomal RNA". It matches the Rfam family "Eukaryotic large subunit ribosomal RNA", at positions 1 to 635 of the family's 3401-position model. Lineage: Eukaryota; Fungi; Neocallimastigomycota; Neocallimastigomycetes; Neocallimastigales. The record is from RNAcentral.